This 484-nucleotide ribosomal RNA is filed under the name uncultured bacterium. RNAcentral describes it as "partial 16S ribosomal RNA". It matches the Rfam family "Bacterial small subunit ribosomal RNA", at positions 30 to 507 of the family's 1533-position model. The record is from RNAcentral.
AUUGAACGCUGGCGGCAGGCCUAACACAUGCAAGUCGAGCGGAUGAAGGGAGCUUGCUCCUGGAUUCAGCGGCGGACGGGUGAGUAAUGCCUAGGAAUCUGCCUGGUAUUGGGGGAUAACGUCCGGAAACGGGCGCUAAUACCGCAUACGUCCUGAGGUAGAACGUGGGGGAUCUUCGGACCUCACGCUAUCAGAUGAGCCUAGGUCGGAUUAGCUAGUUGGUGGGGUAAAGGCCUACCAAGGCGACGAUCCGUAACUGGUCUGAGAGGAUGAUCAGUCACACUGGAACUGAGACACGGUCCAGACUCCUACGGGAGGCAGCAGUGGGGAAUAUUGGACAAUGGGCGAAAGCCUGAUCCAGCCACGCCGCGUGUGUGAAGAAGGUCUUCGGAUUGUAAAGCACUUUAAGUUGGGAGGAAGGGCAGUAAGUUAAUACCUUGCUGUUUUGACGUUACCAACAGAAUAAGCACCGGCUAACUUCGUG